RNAcentral lists this ribosomal RNA (301 nucleotides) under uncultured bacterium. RNAcentral's name for it is "partial 16S ribosomal RNA". It matches the Rfam family "Bacterial small subunit ribosomal RNA", at positions 509 to 809 of the family's 1533-position model. The record is from RNAcentral.
CAGUCGCCACGGUAAUACGGAGGAUCCGAGCGUUAUCCGGAUUUAUUGGGUUUAAAGGGUGCGUAGGCGGCUCAUUAAGUCAGGGGUGAAAGACGGUAGCUUAACUAUCGCAGUGCCUUUGAUACUGAUGAGCUUGAAUACACUUGAGGUAGGCGGAAUGUGACAAGUAGCGGUGAAAUGCAUAGAUAUGUCACAGAACACCAAUUGCGAAGGCAGCUUACUAAAGUGAGAUUGACGCUGAGGCACGAAAGCGUGGGGAUCAAACAGGAUUAGAUACCCCCGUAGUCCCUGUCUCUUAUCA